UUUUCUUAUAUUUUGUAUGAAUAUUUGCUAAGAAUCCAUUUUAAAGAAUUAUGUUGAUUUUUUUUAAAAAAAUGCUUUUUGUAUCACUGUUCUCUCAAGUACUUGGGGAUCAUGGGGGCUGGAAGUAACAAUGGGCUGUGAAAUACAUAGUGAAAGAAAAAUUGCAUUAGAAACAGCUUUCUAACUGUAGAGGAAAUAUAAUAUUUAUUCAAGGAUUUUUUUGUAUCAGUUUUCAUUACUGUGGUUUCUAAAUCAUUCUUACAUGACUUACAAUACUCAUGCCUAAAUUAAUUUUCAUAAAAUUGUGGAAUUUCCCUGGUGCCUUUAGUUUGGAAUAUAUAAUAUACAUUGCACAUAACUUUUCUUUUUUUACUUGGACCCUUGAUAUUUUGGUAUCAUAGCAUUUGAGGAGACCUAUAUUCUCUAUUUCUUUCCGUGACUCCAUAUUUAUACUAAAGUAAUAUUGGGAAUUAUGGCAACCCAGAAAUCUAGAAUCUGUAUCUUAAUACUUGUAUUAAAAUGGCUUGCAUAUCCAUACUUUGAGUCUUUCCACUAAAAGUGACAGUAAUUAAAAAAAAAACUAUAAGUAAAUAGCAGAAAGAUUAGAAGAACAGAAGGAAGUACUAGGUCCUGAAUUAGAACAAAUUAUAUUCUAUGCUUUUAUAAUUAUAUUCUAGUAUAUAACUUCUAUUUUGACGUAUAACUGAAAAGAACCAAUAAAAAUUCUAAAGGUAAUGAAAUUUUCUAAAAAUUUACUCUUCAUCUAAUCAAAGAAUAAAUGGUGUGUGCAAGGUAAUAACCAGUUCUGGAAGCAGAAACAUUCAAUAAUUGUAUGGUAAUACUUUAGUUUCAGAAUUGUUGUUUUUCCAUUAUAGUUUCUUAAAAUAUAUAAAUUCUAUGUCUAAUUUUGAAAUUUAAAAUUUUAGAUGUUUCUGUAUUUACUUACUUUAAUGUUUAUUGUAAAACACUACUAUUUUUAUGAACUAUUCCAGGUUAGGAAAUAUAUUUGCAUAUAUCCUGGAGAAGCUAAAAUAAGGUUAAAUGUAAACGAUAUCUUUUGUUUUGAAAUUACUUUAAUUUUAUUUCA
Molecule: long non-coding RNA, 1087 nt
Filed under: Marmota monax (woodchuck)
Lineage: Eukaryota; Metazoa; Chordata; Mammalia; Rodentia; Sciuridae
Source: RNAcentral